Molecule: non-coding RNA, 764 nt
Organism: Plutella xylostella (diamondback moth)
Lineage: Eukaryota; Metazoa; Arthropoda; Insecta; Lepidoptera; Plutellidae
Source: RefSeq, a predicted model, not a curated record
GUUUUAUUAGAAGUAUUUUUCAUGACUGUAGUGUUUUAUUAUGUUCUUACCAUAACACAACGCGGACUCGGGUGUAUCAAACAUAAAUGACUAUUUAUAAGCAUAUUUAUUUUUAAAAAUAAAUUAACUAGACAACCUUUGGGUGGAGGAAGGACUUGAAGAUUAAAUGAGGAAGAUGUAAAAAUAUCACAGUAGACCGUGGGAAAUGGUCCAAGCUUAGGAAGGCAGUUUAGACCUUCGAGAUAUGCACAAAGUUUAUAUAUCAGAGAGCCAAGUGCAGGUACUUACACCCCCACAGAGAAUAGAAUAAGUAUCUAAGGUACUAGGUAUUAAAGAAAAUAUGAGUGAGUGUGUCGUGAAUGAGGAUAUUAUUAUGACAGAGUAUAGGGUAAAAUGGCGUGACAUGACGAACAAAGCCGAUACUGAAUAAGGAUAAGGCAAGGAAGAAGAAGAGAAGAAUUGUUAUUACCUUGGUCGUCGGCACAGAUCAUGUUGUCAGUGAUGAUGUCUACGUCAGAGUAACGACGCCGGCACUCGGCAUUGCUGAUGGUGUAGAGAGUCACUUGUUGCAAGAUGUCAGCGUAAUCGUCUUCGCUUGAGAGGUUCUCACCCUGUUAGAGACAAAUUAAUUCGUUUUAGGGAUGCUAUAAAAAUAUACAGGGAGUUAGGAUAAUUUAUAGUUAUACUUUAUAUAGAACUAGGCCUAUAGAACCCUUCCUUUAUAGGAAGGAGACCCGUGCCCCAGCAGUCGUGAUGAUAGAGGA